CCUCUGGUAGCUCAGUUGGUAGAGCGGUGGACUGUAGUUGGUUUCAAAUUUGUGGUUAUCCAUAGGUCGCUGGUUCAAAUCCGGCCCGGAGGA
This is a non-coding RNA of Zootermopsis nevadensis, 93 nucleotides long. NCBI's taxonomy places the organism in Eukaryota, Metazoa, Arthropoda, Insecta, Blattodea, Termopsidae. The record is from Rfam.